This 88-nucleotide ribosomal RNA is filed under the name Paenibacillus sp. CF384. Its description in RNAcentral is "23S rRNA. Bacterial LSU". It matches the Rfam family "Bacterial large subunit ribosomal RNA", at positions 2837 to 2925 of the family's 2925-position model. The record is from RNAcentral. Lineage: Bacteria; Bacillati; Bacillota; Bacilli; Caryophanales; Paenibacillaceae.
CUGGAAGACGACCAGGUUGAUAGGUUCGAGGUGGAAGUGCAGCAAUGCAUGCAGCUGACGAAUACUAAUCGGUCGAGGGCUUAUCCUA